UGGGGAAUUUUGCACAAUGGGGGAAACCCUGAUGCAGCGACGCCGCGUGAUUUAGAAGGCCUUCGGGUUGUAAAAAUCUUUUCUAUGGGAAGAAAAUGACAGUACCAUAGGAAUAAGGAACGGCUAAUUACGUGCCAGCAGCCGCGGUAAUACGUAAGGUCCGAGCGUUGUCCGGAAUCAUUGGGCGUAAAGGGUACGUAGGCGGGUAAGCAAGUUAGAAGUGAAAUCCUAUUGCGCAACUAUAGUAAGCUUUUAAAACUGCUCAUCUUGAGGUAUGGAAGGGAAAGUGGAAUUCCUAGUGUAGCGGUGAAAUGCGCAGAUAAUAGGAGGAAUACCGGUGGCGAAGGCGACUUUCUGGCCAUAACCUGACGCUGAGGUACGAAAGCGUGGGUAGCAAACAGG
Molecule: ribosomal RNA, 402 nt
Filed under: bacterium
Lineage: Bacteria
Description: partial 16S ribosomal RNA
Rfam family: Bacterial small subunit ribosomal RNA
Source: RNAcentral